This 514-nucleotide long non-coding RNA is filed under the name Callithrix jacchus (white-tufted-ear marmoset). Its description in RNAcentral is "lncRNA (ENSCJAG00000078322.1)". Lineage: Eukaryota; Metazoa; Chordata; Mammalia; Primates; Cebidae. The record is from RNAcentral.
GAUCCAUGACCACUGCGCCGGGGAGCCAACUGUCCAGCAGUCAAACAGUGAUUCCAGGUGCCAGCGGCAUCAUCUCUCACACAACUGUUGAACCUGGAAGUUCUGUUAUAGGCACUACUGGUGUGGCCUUAAGCACAACUGUUGCACCUGGAAGUUCCAGUACAGGUAGGCUAACAAGCUGAGAAGAAACCUCCUGUCUAGAAAUAAGAUGGCAAAAAUGUCCUUCGCAUUGCUCUUCUUGUGUAAGAGCAUCACAGUAUAUUUCCCCGUCCUUCUGAAUCCUCACUCUUUCCUCGUUGCUUCUCUUUUUCUUCCAGAAGCCACAACUUCCACGGGAGUCGGUAGAACCACUGUAGUGGGAUGGAAAACAGGAGCUACCACUAGAGGAUCAGCAAACCAAGGAACUGGAAGCACAAUAGAAGCUACAACAUCCUUUAGAGACACUGGGACCACAGGAUGUGGAAUGAAUACAGCUGAGCACACACGCUUCGUAACCUGUCCACUUUUCACUUAA